CACGAAAAGGUUGGGAAUCCGUUGGCGCACAUCACCCCUUUUUGAGGAUUAUAUCUGGCAAAUUGAUUUGUUCGCGAGAGCGGUUACCGAUGAGAGGUUAAUUAUCUGAGAUGAUAAUCUUUUGGUAUAUUAGUCUCUACUGCAGUGCACGGCCAGCUGGCCCGAUGGCUCUACUCUUCGGGAGUCUGGAGCCCACUGUAACAACCACACACGUCCAAACAAACGUAACGAACAAACUACACGGUGCCAUACAAGGGAUGACGGGCGCAUUAAAAAACGCAAUAACUGCAAUAAGCAAAGUUAAGCCUCAUAGCAGUCCAUUUAACACGAAAUGUGGCGACUUAAAAGAUUUGUCGAGGUAAGACAGCAGUAAGGGUGGCACCAUGAACAAAGGAUUUUGGUGCAUGUUCACGAUCAAAGCCUUGCAUGAGAAUCAGAACAUCAACGCAUUUAGGAGGCUGUGCCGCAUCUCCCAGAAAUCCAGCACGCAGGAAACUGCUCGUACACUUAUGAUUAGGCGUCGGCUCGUCCAGUUUAGCGGGAGUGAGACGAAUGCCCC
Molecule: long non-coding RNA, 559 nt
Filed under: Volvox carteri
Lineage: Eukaryota; Viridiplantae; Chlorophyta; Chlorophyceae; Chlamydomonadales; Volvocaceae
Description: long non-coding RNA (VCAR_LNC000533)
Source: RNAcentral